Molecule: transfer-messenger RNA, 347 nt
Filed under: Polyangiaceae
Lineage: Bacteria; Pseudomonadati; Myxococcota; Polyangiales
Also listed under: 2 other names
Description: JABSRN01 sp013214025 Standard tmRNA
Rfam family: transfer-messenger RNA
About the family: Bacterial tmRNA, also known as 10Sa RNA or SsrA, is named for its dual tRNA and mRNA-like properties. Its role is to liberate the mRNA from a stalled ribosome. To accomplish this part of the tmRNA is used as a reading frame that ends in a translation stop signal.
Source: RNAcentral
GGGGGCGAUCGGUUUCGACGUGGGGACUGAAGAACAUGUCUGCGUGCGGUAGCGCCCGAUCUACUUGAAAAUUGGGCAAACGUUAGUUGCGAACGAUAACGCACUCGCUUUCGCUGCGUAAAAACCAGUGAAGCCGUUGAAGGGUAAGAUUGUCUUGGUAGCCUGGAAACGUCAUCACUAAGACUGGCCACUGUCCUGGGUUUCUUGGGGGCAGAGGUGAGAUCCUCGAGAAACUAGGUCGCCGCCGAAUCAGCGAACCGUGUCGGUGAGGUUUAUCGACUACGCACGUGAAUGAGGGCAGUUUGGACGCCUCGCGGACCCGGGUUCGAUUCCCGGCGCCUCCACCA